GGAGGUUUAGCUCAGUUGGGAGAGCAUCUGCCUUACAAGCAGAGGGUCAGCGGUUCGAGCCCGUUAACCUCCAACA
RNAcentral lists this transfer RNA (76 nucleotides) under Coprobacillus sp. AM26-5AC. Its description in RNAcentral is "tRNA-Val". It matches the Rfam family "tRNA". From Rfam's summary of the family: Transfer RNA (tRNA) molecules are approximately 80 nucleotides in length. Their secondary structure includes four short double-helical elements and three loops (D, anti-codon, and T loops). The record is from RNAcentral. Lineage: Bacteria; Bacillati; Bacillota; Erysipelotrichia; Erysipelotrichales; Coprobacillaceae.